UUCGCCCUUUUCCGGUUGAUCCCGCCGGACCCGACUGCUAUCAGAGUGGGACUAAGCCAUGCGAGUCAACGUAGCAAUGCGUGGCGAACGGCUCAGUAACACGUAGUCAACAUGCCCAGGGGACGUGGAUAACCUCGGGAAACUGAGAUUAAACCGCGAUAGGUCAAGAUUUCUGGAAUGGAUCCUGGCUUAAAUCUACAUGGCCCCUGGAUUGGACUGCGGCCGAUCAGGCUGUUGGUGAGGUAAUGGCCCACCAAACCUAUAACCGGUACGGGCUCUGAGAGGAGAAGCCCGGAGAUGGGCACUGAGACAAGGGCCCAGGCCCUAUGGGGCGCAGCAGGCGCGAAAACUCUGCAAUGGGCGAAAGCCUGACAGGGUUACUCUGAGUGAUUUCCGCUAAGGAGAUCUUUUGGCAGCUCUAAAAAUGGUGCAGAAUAAGGGGUGGGCAAGUCUGGUGUCAGCCGCCGCGGUAAUACCAGCACCCCGAGUGGUCGGGACGAUUAUUGGGCCUAAAGCAUCCGUAGCCGGUUGUGCAAGUCCUCCGUUAAAUCCAGCCGCUCAA
This 562-nucleotide ribosomal RNA is filed under the name uncultured archaeon. Its description in RNAcentral is "bacterial SSU rRNA". It matches the Rfam family "Archaeal small subunit ribosomal RNA", at positions 1 to 562 of the family's 1478-position model. The record is from RNAcentral.